GACGAACGCUGGCGGCGUGCUUAACACAUGCGAGUCGAACGAUGAAGCGGGUGCUUGCACUCGUGGAUUAGUGGCGAACGGGCGAGUAACACGUGAGUAACCUGUCCUUUUCUUUGGGAUAACGGCUGGAAACGGCUGCUAAUACUGGAUAUUCAGGCUGCAUCGCAUGGUGUGGUUUGGAAAGGUUUUUUCUGGGAUUGGGUGGGCUCGCGGCCUAUCAGCUUGUUGGUGGGGUGAUGGCUUACCAAGGCUUUGACGGGCAGCCGGCCUGAGAGGGUGGUCGGUCGCACUGGGACUGAGAUACGGCCCAGACUCCUACGGGAGGCAGCAGUGGGGAAUAUUGCACAAUGGACGAAAGUUUGAUGCAGCGACGCCGCGUGGAGGGUGUAGGCCUUCGGGUUGUGAACUCCUUUUUCUCGCGAAAAAGGCACAGUUUUGGCUGUGUUGAUGGUAGUGGGGGAAGAAGCGCCGGCUAACUACGUGC
This 484-nucleotide ribosomal RNA is filed under the name uncultured bacterium. RNAcentral describes it as "partial 16S ribosomal RNA". It matches the Rfam family "Bacterial small subunit ribosomal RNA", at positions 28 to 508 of the family's 1533-position model. The record is from RNAcentral.